ACCAGAAGCACGCGACCUCAGUGAAACCUGUUCGGUGACGUGUCAAGUCCCGAACUUCAGACGCGCAGAGUUCGAGUUUUGCACAAGCAACGUGCAGACAGUGUUUAUCGAUUACAGAACGAUGCAGUUUUACUUGGAUGCACAGUAUCUUAGAGUAGGGUCUCAUGAGCAGAAGCAGUAGACCACACAACAACAUGAGCAGAUACACAGACUGCGACGAGACAGCUGGACUGGAGUCAAAGAUGCUGCCACCGCCGCCGUUAUCCUCCGUGACGACGAUCACAGAAGACGGCGUUGU
Puntigrus tetrazona (Sumatra barb) is the source of this 298-nucleotide long non-coding RNA. RefSeq lists it as uncharacterized. The record is from RefSeq and is a predicted model, not a curated record. The transcript is spliced from 3 exons. Lineage: Eukaryota; Metazoa; Chordata; Actinopteri; Cypriniformes; Cyprinidae.